GCGAAUCUUAUUAGCUGAAAAAUAAGCAAAACCGGUUAUAAUGCUGGGUGGACACAGAAAAGUAACAUUUAAACUUGGGGAGAUUUGUAAAUGAAGCACAUGAUGCAUUUGUUUUUGUUAUAUUUGUGAAAGAAAAUGCCAUAGAAACUUUAAAAAAAAAAAAAACUGAAGAAUUUGGUGCACAGUUUUGCAUUGUGAACUUUCUCUGAAUUGACAAAACUGCAGAAAACUGGCAUCUAAAAAGGAACAAGACGUUUAAUUUCACCUGCUGUCACCCUAGCUGCUU
This 286-nucleotide unclassified non-coding RNA is filed under the name Hevea brasiliensis (rubber tree). The record is from RNAcentral. Lineage: Eukaryota; Viridiplantae; Streptophyta; Magnoliopsida; Malpighiales; Euphorbiaceae.